RNAcentral lists this ribosomal RNA (253 nucleotides) under uncultured organism. Its description in RNAcentral is "partial 16S ribosomal RNA". It matches the Rfam family "Bacterial small subunit ribosomal RNA", at positions 524 to 776 of the family's 1533-position model. The record is from RNAcentral.
UACGAAGGGGGCUAGCGUUGCUCGGAAUGACUGGGCGUAAAGGGCGCGUAGGCGGUUGUCAUAGUCAGACGUGAAAUUCCUGGGCUUAACCUGGGGACUGCGUUUGAAACGUGAUGACUGGAGUUCGGAAGAGGGUUGUGGAAUUCCCAGUGUAGAGGUGAAAUUCGUAGAUAUUGGGAAGAACACCGGUGGCGAAGGCGGCAACCUGGUCCGAUACUGACGCUGAGGCGCGAAAGCGUGGGGAGCAAACAGG